AGUGAACGCUGGCGGUAGGCCUAACACAUGCAAGUCGAACGGCAGCACAGGAGAGCUUGCUCUCUGGGUGGCGAGUGGCGGACGGGUGAGGAAUACAUCGGAAUCUACCUUUUCGUGGGGGAUAACGUAGGGAAACUUACGCUAAUACCGCAUACGACCUUCGGGUGAAGGCAGGGGACCUUCGGGCCUUGCGCGGAUAGAUGAGCCGAUGUCGGAUUAGCUAGUUGGCGGGGUAAAGGCCCACCAAGGCGACGAUCCGUAGCUGGUCUGAGGUGAGGAUCAGCCACACUGGAACAGAGACACGGUCCAGACUCCCACGGGAGGCAGCAGUGGGGAAUAGUGGACAAUGGGCGCAAGCCUGAUCCAGCCAUACCGCGUGGGUGAAGAAGGCCUUCGGGUUGUAAAGCCCUUUUGUUGGGAAAGAAAUCCAGCUGGCUAAUACCCGGUUGGGAUGACGGUACCCAAAGAAUAAGCACCGGCUAACUUCGUGCCAGCAGCCGCCGUAA
RNAcentral lists this ribosomal RNA (506 nucleotides) under uncultured bacterium. Its description in RNAcentral is "partial 16S ribosomal RNA". It matches the Rfam family "Bacterial small subunit ribosomal RNA", at positions 29 to 523 of the family's 1533-position model. The record is from RNAcentral.